GAUGAAGAACGUAGCGAAAUGCGAUAAGUAAUGUGAAUUGCAGAAUUCAGUGAAUCAUCGAAUCUUUGAACGCAUCUUGCGCUCCUUGGUAUUCUGAGGAGCAUGCCUGUUUGAGUGUCAUUAAAUUCUCCACUACACUGACUUUGAAUUGGUGUGGCUUGGAUUUGGGGGGAAAAUUGUUGUGGGCUUUUUGUAUAGUCUGCUCCCCUGAAAUUGAUUAGCGGUACCUUUGUGGAACUGUCUACAGGUGUGAUAAUUAUCUACAUCUUAGACAUCUGCUGGAAUGCUGCUUUCUAAACCUUACUUGUAUUGACAAUCUUGACCUCAAAUCAGGUAGGACUACCCGCUGAACUUAAGCAUAUCAAUAAGCGGAGGA
This 376-nucleotide unclassified non-coding RNA is filed under the name soil metagenome. Its description in RNAcentral is "partial contains 5.8S ribosomal RNA, internal transcribed spacer 2, and large subunit ribosomal RNA". The stretch from base 1 to 120 matches the Rfam family "5.8S ribosomal RNA", at positions 35 to 154 of the family's 154-position model. The record is from RNAcentral.